Molecule: transfer RNA, 82 nt
Organism: Lepisosteus oculatus (spotted gar)
Lineage: Eukaryota; Metazoa; Chordata; Actinopteri; Semionotiformes; Lepisosteidae
Rfam family: tRNA
About the family: Transfer RNA (tRNA) molecules are approximately 80 nucleotides in length.
Source: Rfam
GUAGUCGUGGCUGAGCGGUUAAGGCGAUGAACUAAAAUGCCACUGGGGUCUCCCCGCACUGGUUCGAAUCCUGCCGACUACG